Molecule: ribosomal RNA, 119 nt
Filed under: Helianthus annuus (common sunflower)
Lineage: Eukaryota; Viridiplantae; Streptophyta; Magnoliopsida; Asterales; Asteraceae
Source: RNAcentral
GGAUGCGAUCAUACCAGCACUAAUGCACCGGAUCCCAUCAGAACUCCGCAGUUAAGCGUGCUUGGGCGAGAGUAGUACUAGGAUGGGUGACCCCCUGGGAAGUCCUCGUGUUGCAACCC